GAAAAAAACAGAGAAAAAGGGCAGGAGGCAAUGGGCGCGUCUCCCCCGCGACCCUCAUCCCCUCUUGCCGCCGCCGGCUCCUCUCCUCUCCCCACACCUUGUCUGCCUCCCUCUCCGUCGUCUUCUCUCGCCCCAGCCGUCUUUGUCCUCUCCUGCGCCGCCAGCCCCGGAUCUGGAGGAGGAAGAGGAGAACCGGGCGUCCUGGCGGUGGCUCGACCGGCGGGCACGGAGGCAUGCUUCUCCGGUGGCGGUCAACAGCGGCGUCGGCGGUGCGGGUUGAUUCACCGCCUGAAGCGACCAACGGCCAGCGAGGAAGACGGCUUGAGGAGGAGCACGGGUCAAGGGGAGCCUCCUUCGAUCCUACAAGGCUCCAUCUCGAGCACUUGAACGCGACACCAAGGACGGUGUCUCGGGAGGACGACGACAGUGGUGUGCAGCCUGGAACCCUAGGCUUCUCUGCUCCAUACCCAUGGUCGAGCUGCCACGUCCUUCGCCCAGAUUUGGUGCAGGUUUAACUGAACUCUUGAUGAUGUUUUGUCAGCAAACACACCGAGACGUUGGAAUAAAUUGAUGUGGUGUACAAGGAGCUGGCUUUACAGUCUGGCGUUAAGCACUGGGGAGGAGUUCCUUCUUUAGGUGAUCAUGUCACUCUUCCACUGUCUUGUUGGUUCAUGUACUGUUGUUCGUUGCCAAAGUUUGUGCUUCCUCUUUUCAGUUCUAUUUUCUUUGGAUUCUGAGAUGCAUAAUGAUUGAAUGUGUUUAAGUUUGUCCGUUUCUGCCAUGUGUUUUGGGUGACUAUGUACAGUUUAUCUAUUCUAUCUGGUGCAUCUUGUGCUAAACUUCUCGCUGGAUGUGCUCUAAUUGGCUAUCGCAUGUGUGCUCUAGCCUAAGCCAUUGCAUUUGAAGUUGUCACUUUCUGAAUUUUUCAUGUUCCUGCUUGCAUGCGCUGCGAUUGGUUAUAUGCAAGGAAGAAUGGUGUCCUGUUCUUUUUAUUUUUAUUUUUUCAGCCUCCACGUUCCCAAUAUUAAUUAGUCACUUGGUAGAAUUCUUAAUCUGUGUAUUUUCCAUGCCUGAGUUGUUCUUGCUUUGUUAUUUUCUUUUGUAUUACAGGUCUUGUUGUUGUGGCACUCUCUUGUCAUCACACGCGCUGCUGUUUUUGACUGCCAAGAUUUGUGCUGUAUAUAUUAUAGUUCAAAAGCUUUUCGUUAUGCUUCCUAUCUCGAAAAUAAGAAUAGCUCCAUGGUUUGUUGCUAGCUGCCUCCUUCUUUUGCCGUUGUUUAUAUUAAGUUACCUUCAGAGUAUGGGUUUGUUAUUUCCAGUCCUAAUUAGUUGGCAACUUUAGUUUCAUAGGUUCAGUUUGUGUUACAAAUUUAUAGGUCAAUAAUGACAUUUAAGCAGAAGAUUCUUUUCGUUAUGCAGGGUGAGAAAGGGUGCUCCAGAAGGGCCAGAAAUUUGGCCAUUGUAAAUUUGGACCAACACACAUGAAUUUCAUCACCCAGAAGGGCCAGGACUUGGUGUUUUUUCAGAGACACCAAGCAUGUAUCCACCAGCGCAACAAUUGCAUGUCUCUUCCAGUUGGCAAUUGGGAAGGCUUUCUGUUCUACCAGGAUCAUUUUUCUCAGGCUCUUAUCCUCCAAAUUAUGCACCCAUCUAUAGUCAUGCCGAUGUAGUAAUGGAACCCUUACAUGGUAAGUUUCUAAUAUUGUAUUCCUUCUCAUUUUAAACGUUGUGCUACAAAUAGUAGGCCAUCGAACAAGGGUGUUUUAUAUUAAUCUAGACCAAAGUAUAAAAAAAUAAAUUUGUAGGGUCUGUUAUUAAUGAUACAACCUUUACUGUCUAAUUUCAGGAACUCACAAUGUAUGAGGAGCAUUGUGCUGUAAAACAAGAUUACAAAAAUGACCCAAAACAUGACUUUGUUCUUUUGUGCUAUGAAGAUUGUGAUGCAUUGUCAGAAAAAUAAAACCUGCUCUGAUGACUUCAUUCUCCUUUAUUUUCUUAGUCACCUAUGAACCAAGUUGUGUCAACUAGGGCACAACAAACUGUUCUUUUUUUAGAAGAGACAACAAACUGUUCAGGCAGGACCAUUUGGCGUAUCACACCGAGGGCCUCCAUCCGUAGUUGCUUAUGGUAGUAAUUAUGCAUCGUUGUCUUCUUCAACAUGGCCUUCAAGUGGCAAACAAGAAAUUGCCUGAUUUCUCAUGUUUUAAUUUAAGCUUUGUAGCCACUUUGAAGCUUGCUUGCUACAUAUUUGACAGUACCUACAUUAGAACCAAAUAUGUCUUAGUACAUCCAUUAGAACCAAAUAUGUUUUAGUUAAGUGAUGUUCCUGAGGCCUUGCUCAUACAUAUUCAUGUUUUAUUAUCAAUCUCUAAACUACUCUUGCAUGGUUUGAAUGCCUGGUUUUCUCUUGGUUUUUGCGUCAGGGGCGCAAAGGGUCAUACUCUGUCGCAUAUAAGAUAUGUUGCAGAUCACCUUAAUGAUGCAACUUAUAAUUAGAGAACAUUCUACAGGAACCAAACAAGUAUUAUUAGGGGUUGGAUGAUGGUAUGGAAGGCAUUUUUAUUUUUGGCAAUGGCAACCCACCAGACACACCCACCAUGAAGAGCUACUUAGAUGAUGAAGUCAUAUUCGAUACCGAUGGCAUCUGCAACGAUGACUACGUGAUAUUCAUCACUACUCACCACGAGCUAAAUGAUCGAAGCUGUCUAUAUGCAUAACCUAUGUGUAGCUUUCUUGAUAAACGUAGUAUAAAUAAGCUAUCGUAAUCUAAUCCCAUGCCUUUCUCAUAAUGCUAUAUAUCAAUUUCAUACGAAAAUAUCUAUUCUCUUAUGAUCCAAUCGGCAUCUAAAUAUUCUUACGUGCGUGGUUUGAAUGCUUGGUUUGUACAAUAUUUGUCCCCUUAUUUCCCUGAUCUUUUUAGUUUUAGUUUCUGUUGCCGCAGACAAGCAAUUCAAAUGCAGAGCUACAUCAAAGAUCCGCGUCAAAUAAUUAGGCCAAUAUAAAUAACAAAAUUUGGGCGUAGUGUCGUAGUCGCCUCCAUCCUGUAGCAUCUUAGCUCUUUGUACAUUUUGAUUGUUCAUUUUACUGGCUCCUUCAUUUUCGUCUGCUAGCUCAAUGAUUUGUCAUUGUUAUAAUUGGUUCCUUUCUGUCACUGCUGGUCUUGAACACAUACUGGUGGCAUCCGAUGGGACAAAUUCGACUGGUCUCUAUCCGAGAGGAGAGAUCCGGGGGAAUGUGUGUUGAGGCUCUCAUCAUGUUGGUACAUGGUGAAUGUUCCAUCAAGUUGUGGAUGGCUCUAAGGCAUGUGACACCAAUGAUAGAUACUCCUGCCGUGUCAUGAAGCUCAUUAAGUGCUACAAAAAUAUUUCACAGGGGUAUGUAUCAUGGCUCUAAGUCACGCACAUGAGAUUUGAGACUUUUUUGGGGGCUAAUGAUAAAUAUUGUUGGUGAUAAGGAGUGUAUGCUUAUGUGCUGUACUUUUCAUUAUCCAAUAUAUGGAUAAUAUUUAUCAUUGUCAAAAGAGUGCACCUCGGGAUAAUGGUUAUGAAAUAUUUUUCCUAUAUUAUUAUGUACUUCAACCUUUUCAUAUUUCAAAGUGGUUGUGAGAAUGGCUAUGAAAUUGAAGAGGCGGCCAGAGGAGGUAGUGAGGGAGCUGCUCCUUCAUCCUCCCCUCCAUACUGUCGGUGUGUUCUUCCUACUAUAAAGCAACAUGGAUUUCUUUAAAUUAAAUUGUGCAUAUUAUGGAAAAUAAAUCUUGUGUGUCUAUAGUCAUGUUCAUCUGUCACAAAUCCAUGGUGAAAUAAACAGGAGAAUACAUGCUUGCAGAAGUUGUCAAGAGGCUCCAUUUAACCAUCAAAGACCAUGAGACCUACGAAUCCAGUGAUAGAGAUGGACACAAUCUCUCCUUGUGGAAGGACAAUGUAUCAAUUGCCAACAAAACCAAACAUUUCAUCCUAUCUUACCAUGUAGUACUAACUUAACUGCAAUGUAUCACCUGUGUCAAAAACUAUUUGAAUCGCGUAUUUGGCUAUCUAUGAUAUCAAACCUUUGUGUUCUUUCAA
Molecule: non-coding RNA, 4061 nt
Organism: Aegilops tauschii subsp. strangulata
Lineage: Eukaryota; Viridiplantae; Streptophyta; Magnoliopsida; Poales; Poaceae
Source: RefSeq, a predicted model, not a curated record